Sarcophilus harrisii (Tasmanian devil) is the source of this 1646-nucleotide long non-coding RNA. NCBI's taxonomy places the organism in Eukaryota, Metazoa, Chordata, Mammalia, Dasyuromorphia, Dasyuridae. The record is from Ensembl.
CUGCCUUCGCUCUGGUGCCCGGCCGGCCUGCGCGCUGCCUCGUGGGCCGCCGCCGCCUUCGCCCCCGUCUCGCUCCCGUUCCCGCCCGCCGAGCCGCGCUCUCUCCCGUCCCCGGGGCCGCCCUGCCUCCGCGGCCCCCCAUUCAUUGUCCUCCCGCCCCCGCGCGGCCUCCCCCGUCUCCCCUCCUUGCAUCCGUCUCGGGGAGGGGGAGGGGGAGGGGGCCCUCCGGCUCGCGGUCUCUGGCUCUCCUCCCUUCCCGCUUCCACCUUCCUCGGCGUGGAAGUGCUCCCGUUUCCUGCUCCCCCCACCCCCACCCCCGGCCGCCCUUUCCGAGCCGCCGCCGCCCUGGAGCCCUCCGCGGGAGCCGGGAAAGGGGCUCGAAUCCCAGCCCCGCGGGGCGCCUGCUGAUGCUGCAGGGAUGAGCAAGAGGAAGAAUCCUGCCUAAGGGGCCAGUCUCUCGCCUGACCUAAAGGUGCUGCUCCUAUGCUCUGCUCAUUCCUCAGCACUGGAUGCAGGUUGGGAGCUUCAAUGUGUUAUCCCACACACAGCAUGGAGGGAGAGAGGGCGAAAAUUGGGGUCAGUGGGUCGGAAGAGCUGUGUUAUAACUAGCAUGGUGGAUUUGGAAUUGGGAACUUAGGACUCGUUUAAAAUUGAUUUUUAGCCUUGCUAAACCUCAGCUCCUCUACAAUUGGGGAUGAUACUAUCUGUAGUACAGGGUUUUACAAAUGACAAUCUACAAAAUGCUUUGUGAAAUUUACAUAAUUAUAUCGAUAAUUAUUGUCUUUCAGGAGGACCUGACAAUAUCUUGUUCUCAGUGGGCUUGCCCCAAAAAGGUUGUUCCUGUGGUAAACCAUUCAAUGCCUUAUUUCCAAUGUCAAUUCCAAUAAAAUACCGUACACAUCUUUUUCUGUGCCUUACUUCUUCCACCACAACAGCACAUCCAGCACUUCUCAGUUCUAUUUUUUUUUCUUGAACCAUUAAUAAAUACUUGACACAAUUGUCCCUUUUUAAGGAUAACCUCUUUCUUUGUUCCCAUGUUCCAAAAUCAUGCAACCUGAUGGACUAGCAAAGAUCUGAACGCUAUACGGUUUCCCUUUGUUGUCUCUAACCCUCAGCUAGGAGGAGGAAGGACAAUGACAAGGAGGCCCAGGAGAGGAAAGAGGUAUCGCCCAGUUAUAAACCCGUUCUUUCCUGCCUCCACCCUCACACGCGGCUCUGAGCCCCUGGUGGCCAGAAACUGCCUGUAUUCCCAACUUAGCUGAAUUCAGGCAAGAUGCUGCUCUCUUACUGUUACUACUUGGGUAAAGCUUUGGCACUAAUGUUUUCCCCUCCAAACAUUACAUCAUGUUGACUUUCCUGGGACCUGUUUUAUUCUCCUAAUAGAAUGUAAAUUCAAGGACAGGGAUUAUCUCAUUUUUGUUUUUUUGUCUUAUCUUCAGUGCCUGGCACAGCAGAGACAUUUAAUAAGUGUUUGUUGAAUUAAUAAAGACAUGGCAGCUGGAGAAUAUGAGGGGCAGAGGCUUGAUGGUUGGUUGAGAAGGGUCACGGGCUGUCCAGUCACAGGUCCUCACUUUCUGUGGGUACCACUUAACACCGGACCCGGCUGGCCCUCCGCCUCUGUUCCUGCCCCUUCAUAUCUCGUCGGC